UACGGAGGGUGCAAACGUUGUCCGGAUUUACUGGGCGUAAAGAGCGUGUAGGCGGCCAGGCAGGUCCGCUGUGAAAACUCGAGGCUCAACCUCGAGAGGUCGGUGGAAACCGUCUGGCUAGAGUCCGGAAGAGGAGAGUGGAAUUCCCGGUGUAGCGGUGAAAUGCGCAGAUAUCGGGAAGAACACCGGUGGCGAAGGCGGUUCUCUGGGCCUUACCUGACACUGAGGAGCGAAAGCGUGGGGAGCGAACAGG
Molecule: ribosomal RNA, 253 nt
Filed under: uncultured bacterium
Lineage: Bacteria
Description: partial 16S ribosomal RNA
Rfam family: Bacterial small subunit ribosomal RNA
Source: RNAcentral